Molecule: long non-coding RNA, 1565 nt
Organism: Spinacia oleracea (spinach)
Lineage: Eukaryota; Viridiplantae; Streptophyta; Magnoliopsida; Caryophyllales; Amaranthaceae
Exons: 4
Source: RefSeq, a predicted model, not a curated record
UUACGGGUUAGACACUUAAGAGUAGAGGGGAGCCGGGAUGGGUGUGGGGAUCUUUCAUCCCUUGGGCUAAGCCACCUCACUUUGGGGUAAGGGUACUCUUGGAAAUGAAAUUUAAAGUGUCUAGUCUGCUAAUUAAUCCGGAUUUAGUGAACUUGAUAUGGGUUUAGGCCUAGUUAGGACAGUUUGUCACUUUAUCUUGCCCAAAAAAACCCGGCAAAAUUGUGUUUCAGUAAUUUCCCAUUUUCAAUCGUGCAUGUUCUCAUCAAUCACCUGCACAGUGCAGUAGUGCACACAGAGAGUCCCAGCUGCAGCCACGACGUGCCCACGUCUGACUCUGAGCCGGUAACCAGUCAUCUUGUCAUGUCAGGAAACAAUGAUAAACUGCAAGACAUAAGUUGGAAAAAACUACCUUCUGGAGACAAAAGGAACAACCCCAAAUGCAAGGCCACAGGCUGCUUGAACAAACACAGAGAAGACAAGCAUCACUGCAAUUGAUCCACUUAAAGAGUUCAUCAAUCCAAGAAGAAUGCAUAAUAAUCCACCUACAGUCUGGAUAAUCCACCAGCCCCAGAGUCUUCCCCUCAUUCCGAACUUCUUUGCUAGAAGAUCUGACACCAAUCCACCUCCUGGCCUGGCAAAAAAAUUAGCCAGACCAAAACAAGCUGCUAUAAGCCCUGCUGUAUGAAGAUUGAGAUUGAAUCGAUCAAAAAAGUACUCAGCAAUGAUAUUAUCCACUGUUAACUCCACCCCGAAACAGUACCCGUAACACAGAGCAGUAAUCCAUCCCCUGUAAUUGGCAUGUCUUGUCCGAAUAUCAACACUGCAAAUGCCAACACAGUCUGUAAAACAGCAGGAAUGAAGAAUGCUAUUCUCCAUGCUGUAAAAUUUGCAGAUCCCAUCCUAAGAAUGAUAGUGUACACAAGAGGCAUGAUCAUCUGGGUUGCUCCACCUCCAAGGUUGCCCCACCCGGCUGCAAUACCGUUAGCCCGGCCAACUACUGGUGAAGAAAACAUGGAACUCAUCCAGAAUUGGGUUGAUACAAAAGUGGCUAAAGAAAAGCCUGUGAAAAACCGGACUAGCAAAAAGGCGGUGGGUGACUCUGCUAUAGCAGAUAGGUAAACUGCUGGUGCAGUGAGGAGGGUGAGUGCUGCAGAAGCAACUCGAGGCCCAACUAAAUCACAGGCGGUUCCCAUGGCUAACCGAGCAAACACAGCACCGGAAACUGAUGCAAUUCCUGCAUUACCAAUAUCAGUAGCAGUAAGAUUAAGAUUGUCGCGGAUGAUAGGAAGAAGAGGUGGAGCAGCAAAGGUUGAAAGAAAGCAGGCAAAGAAUUGAAGCCAAGAUAGAUGAAAUGCGCGCAUAUGAGGCUUUGCUACUGAUAAUAAGUGAAUGGUUGUAGCCUUGUGCUCUGCAUCAACUGGAAGAGAUGAGCUGGUUGGGAGGACUUUGAAGCAGUGAACUUGGAAAAAAUAGGUGGAGGAUUGACUGAUCUAUAAAGUGUGUUUAUACUCCACAAUCAAACUUCUACUUGAAUUUUGACUUUAUCAAACAUUUUGUACCCUAUA